RNAcentral lists this small nucleolar RNA (76 nucleotides) under Cephalotus follicularis. Its description in RNAcentral is "Small nucleolar RNA snoR8a". It matches the Rfam family "Small nucleolar RNA snoR8a". Lineage: Eukaryota; Viridiplantae; Streptophyta; Magnoliopsida; Oxalidales; Cephalotaceae. The record is from Rfam by way of RNAcentral.
GGGGUUGCAGUGAUUAGAAGACUGCGCUCUUUUUGUGGCAUGACAGAUUCUUUUACACCCAUACAAUAUGAGCUCU